UGGGGAAUUUUGCGCAAUGGGCGAAAGCCUGACGCAGCAACGCCGCGUGAGUGAUGAAGGCUCUUGGGUCGUAAAGCUCUGACAGAGGGAAAGAAGUGCAUGGUGGCUAAUAUCCACUGUGCUUGACGGUACCCUCAAAGGAAGCACCGGCUAACUCCGUGCCAGCAGCCGCGGUAAUACGGAGGGUGCGAGCGUUGUUCGGAUUUAUUGGGCGUAAAGCGCGUGUAGGCGGUUUAUUAAGUCUGAUGUGAAAGCCCCGGGCUCAACCUGGGAAGUGCAUUGGAUACUGGUAGACUUGAAUACGGGAGAGGGCAGUGGAAUUCCUGGUGUAGGAGUGAAAUCCGUAGAUAUCAGGAGGAACACCGGUGGCGAAGGCGGCUGCCUGGACCGAUAUUGACGCUGAGACGCGAAAGCGUGGGUAGCAAACAGG
RNAcentral lists this ribosomal RNA (430 nucleotides) under uncultured Geobacter sp. Its description in RNAcentral is "bacterial SSU rRNA". It matches the Rfam family "Bacterial small subunit ribosomal RNA", at positions 355 to 776 of the family's 1533-position model. Lineage: Bacteria; Pseudomonadati; Thermodesulfobacteriota; Desulfuromonadia; Geobacterales; Geobacteraceae. The record is from RNAcentral.